Ornithodoros turicata is the source of this 325-nucleotide long non-coding RNA. RefSeq lists it as uncharacterized. The transcript is spliced from 3 exons. The record is from RefSeq and is a predicted model, not a curated record. Lineage: Eukaryota; Metazoa; Arthropoda; Arachnida; Ixodida; Argasidae.
CUGGAACCCGCCGACCAGGCACGAGAUGUGGCUGCGGCUAACCCGCGGGAUGACAUUUUCAGGUGUCUGUGUGGAGUCUGCGACCCACAGGAGCCCGACGAGCGCCUGUGUUGCCAUUCUGUUGCCAGGGUGGUAGAAAUGUGCAACAGUGCCGCCGUGCAGUGCAUAACACAACACCCAUUACUCAGGGACAUCUGCCUCCGUAGGGAGCUUCUAGUGGUGUACGCGCCUCAAUUCUGCCGCUAUGAUCAACAUUUUAGGCGACUCAAUCCCCAGGACCACAGGUGCCUGAGGUUCACGGCAUACUCGUCAUUCACGAGAUGGG